Molecule: ribosomal RNA, 440 nt
Filed under: uncultured bacterium
Lineage: Bacteria
Description: partial 16S ribosomal RNA
Rfam family: Bacterial small subunit ribosomal RNA
Source: RNAcentral
CCUACGGGGGGCAGCAGUGGGGAAUAUUGCACAAUGGGGGAAACCCUGAUGCAGCGACGCCGCGUGAGUGAAGAAGUAUUUCGGUAUGUAAAGCUCUAUCAGCAGGGAAGAAAAUGACGGUACCUGAUUAAGAAGCCCCGGCUAACUACGAGCCAGCAGCCGCGGGAAUACGUAGGGGUCAAGCGUUAUCCGGAUUUACUGGGUGUAAAGGGGGAGUAGACGGCAGCACAAGUCUGGAGUGAAAUGCCGGGGCUUAACCCCGGAACUGCUUUUGAAACUGUUGAGCUAGAGUGCAGGAGAGGUAAGUGGAAUGCGUAGUGUAGCGGUGAAAUGCGUAGAUAUUAGGAGGAACACCAGUGGCGAAGGCGGCUUACUGGACUGUAACUGACGUUGAGGCUCGAAAGCGUGGGGAGCGAACAGGAUUAGAUACCCUUGUAGUC